CCACAUCUAUCUAACUUCUCUCUAGCUUCUCUCUUCCCAAACUCAAACCUCCAUUGAAGGAACACUAGAGCUCCAAGUCAAGGAUGGAUUCACCAAGGUUUUAAUCACAAAUUCGUGGAAAUAUCAUCACUAAGGUUCUGGUCAAUGAAGAGCUUCUAAUUCUCGUUGCAAGGAUACUUUGACUUCUUCCUCUAAGUAGUUGGUGAGUCCUCCAUGUUUGAGGAUGGUGCCUUUUGAUCCACCCUAGUAGUAUAGAUAUUGUCUAAAGGCAUUUGUUUAUUCCGUAUUCUUGAAGACAUUUGUUGUAAGCCUAUGUGGGAAUAUGUACUUGUGUAAGGGAUAUGCCUGAAUGUUGUACUUUGUUUUAGAUUGUUUAAUCUGAGAAAAGAUUAGACUAAUUCGUAUA
Non-coding RNA from Solanum lycopersicum (tomato), 406 nucleotides. NCBI's taxonomy places the organism in Eukaryota, Viridiplantae, Streptophyta, Magnoliopsida, Solanales, Solanaceae. The record is from RefSeq and is a predicted model, not a curated record.